AUUGAACGCUGGCGGCAGGCCUAACACAUGCAAGUCGAGCGGGCAUAGCAAUAUGUCAGCGGCAGACGGGUGAGUAACGCGUGGGAACGUACCUUUUGGUUCGGAACAACACAGGGAAACUUGUGCUAAUACCGGAUAAGCCCUUACGGGGAAAGAUUUAUCGCCGAAAGAUCGGCCCGCGUCUGAUUAGCUAGUUGGUGAGGUAAUGGCUCACCAAGGCGACGAUCAGUAGCUGGUCUGAGAGGAUGAUCAGCCACAUUGGGACUGAGACACGGCCCAAACUCCUACGGGAGGCAGCAGUGGGGAAUAUUGGACAAUGGGCGCAAGCCUGAUCCAGCCAUGCCGCGUGAGUGAUGAAGGCCCUAGGGUUGUAAAGCUCUUUUGUGCGGGAAGAUAAUGACGGUACCGCAAGAAUAAGCCCCGGCUAACUUCGUGCCAGCAGCCGCGGUAA
RNAcentral lists this ribosomal RNA (451 nucleotides) under uncultured bacterium. Its description in RNAcentral is "partial 16S ribosomal RNA". It matches the Rfam family "Bacterial small subunit ribosomal RNA", at positions 30 to 523 of the family's 1533-position model. The record is from RNAcentral.